Molecule: unclassified non-coding RNA, 221 nt
Filed under: Melitaea cinxia (Glanville fritillary)
Lineage: Eukaryota; Metazoa; Arthropoda; Insecta; Lepidoptera; Nymphalidae
Description: misc RNA ENSMCXG00005008681.1
Source: RNAcentral
AGAGACUUGAAAUUUAAAAUGUAUGCUCUAUAGAUGGUGAGGAGGUGUCCAAAUAAUGUAUCUUUAGAAAUCAACUCCCUUUUGGGGUUAAAACGGGGGAUGGUAGGUUGACCCACUCAUCACGAAAUAUCCGAAACUAUAACACCUAGAAACUUGAAAUUUGGCAGGUAGGUUUCUUAUAGAGCAUAGACAUCCGCUAAGAACGGAUUUUACGAAACUCG